Molecule: ribosomal RNA, 492 nt
Filed under: uncultured bacterium
Lineage: Bacteria
Description: partial 16S ribosomal RNA
Rfam family: Bacterial small subunit ribosomal RNA
Source: RNAcentral
AGUGAACGCUGGCGGUAGGCCUAACACAUGCAAGUCGAACGGCAGCACAGUAAGAGCUUGCUCUUACGGGUGGCGAGUGGCGGACGGGUGAGGAAUACAUCGGAAUCUACUUUUUCGUGGGGGAUAACGUAGGGAAACUUACGCUAAUACCGCAUACGACCUACGGGUGAAAGCAGGGGAUCUUCGGACCUUGCGCGAUUGAAUGAGCCGAUGUCGGAUUAGCCAGUUGGCGGGGUAAAGGCCCACCAAGGCGACGAUCCGUAGCUGGUCUGAGAGGAUGAUCAGCCACACUGGAACUGAGACACGGUCCAGACUCCUACGGGAGGCAGCAGUGGGGAAUAUUGGACAAUGGGCGCAAGCCUGAUCCAGCCAUACCGAGUGGGUGAAGAAGGCCUUCGGGUUGUAAAGCCCUUUUGUUGGGAAAGAAAAGCAGCAGGUUAAUACCCCGCUGUUCUGACGGUACCCAAAGAAUAAGCACCGGCUAACUUCGUG